Molecule: long non-coding RNA, 393 nt
Organism: Xenia sp. Carnegie-2017
Lineage: Eukaryota; Metazoa; Cnidaria; Anthozoa; Malacalcyonacea; Xeniidae
Exons: 4
Source: RefSeq, a predicted model, not a curated record
GAGAGAAAUGGAGAGGGAAGCAGCUUACGAAGAAAGCGCCGUAACAGGAGUUGAAACAAUUUUAAGAUUCUUUUUACUAUGUAACAUGAGAUAUGCAUGUCCCAUCUUGAGCCAUACUACUAUGUAUUUGUUAUAUACUUUCACUAUGGAAAAUAUCUUGUGGAAGUUGCAUUUAUUGCACUAAAUAAAUUCAUUUAUUUAAACCAUGAUGUUGUUUAGAUUCCAGGUGAACAAGACACAGAAGCUGUUAAAGCUGGCAAGAAAACUAUCGAGACGAUCAAAGGAGCUGAAAGAAUCAUGGAGGCCAUUGAAUUGUAUAAGGAAGAAAGACAGAAAGAACUUGAACAUAAAGCGAGUCAAGUGACAAAAGACAAAACGCUUCCAAAGCGCAUC